Podarcis lilfordi (Lilford's wall lizard) is the source of this 2905-nucleotide non-coding RNA. The record is from the annotation of a GenBank genome assembly. Lineage: Eukaryota; Metazoa; Chordata; Lepidosauria; Squamata; Lacertidae.
CUCCUGUUAUACACAUGACAGAAAAAUGAAAGAGCUUCGGCCCAAAAGGGAUUGGGCAGCCCCGAAUCAUGUAACAGUGUUCUGAUUCCUUGCUGCAGGGUCUGGUUUAUUCUCUCACAUAAACCAUUCUGCCAGGGUGAUCUGGGCGUGGCAGUCCUAUGCUCAAUGCCCUGUUCAGAAAGAAAAGCCUCAAACUCCUCUGAACAAAACUCACCACCCUUGUCAGUGAAAAGACAACGUACGUUCUCAUUAUGUACAUUCUGAGCCAUUUACAAAACUGGCGAAACUUGGUAAAGGCUUCAGACUUUUUCUGCAACAUAUAGACCCAUACAUAUCUCGAAUAGGCAUCUAUCAGAACCAUAAAAAACCUCAAAUUGCCUCUAGAGAGCGCUAGAGGCCCCACUAAGUCUGCAUGAAUGACUUCGUAUGGUUUCUUGGCCUCUCUCCCAGACUCUGUACCUUUGGGAGCUUGCCUUGCCUUACUCUCAGCACAAGAAACACAUUUCAUGUGGUAGGGACAUUCUUUCAACUUCAUACCCUGAACCAUAUCAGGCAUUUUUGCCACAGCCUGGAAAUUCAAAUGACCAUAAACACGGUGGUAAUAAUGAAUACAUUGGUCAUGCAACUUCUCAUUCUUAUCAACAGAUAAAUUGCAACACUCUUUCUCAGUUGCUUCUGCAGUACCUGUACCUGAAACAAAAGGCAAUUGGUACAGACCAUUUACACAUUUUGCAUACAGAAUGAGCUUGCCAUCUCGACGAAUUUCACAGCGAGAUUUAGCAAACACCACCUUAAACCCUUGACGAUCAAGCUGGGAAACACUCAACAAAUUGUCCUGAAUAUCAGGCGCAUACAGGACAUUCUUAAUUGUUGCAUUCAGGCUCUUUAAAAACACAGUUCCCUGAGCCAAACUCGUGAGGACAGUCCCAUCUGCUUGAUGAAUUUCUUUCUCUUGCUUCUCAAGAUGAACAAAGAGAUCCUUAUCUUUGGCCACGUGGUUUGAACAGCCAGAGUCGACCACGAAGAAACUCCACCCACGUUGAUUGGAGCAGCGAGAGAUCAAAGCCUUUGAAGUAGCAGGUGCUUGGGGAUUUCGUCCUCCUCCCCCCUCUGCCUCUGAAGUUUCCCUUCUUCUUUGAAGAUUUCUUGCUGCACUGAAAACUCAAAUGGCCUUGUGCUCUACACGAAAAGCACUGCUUCAACUUUAGUGCUUUAACAGCAGCAGUUUCACUUUCACUUUCCCCUGCUGGAGACUUAGGCACAUUUUCAAGCACAUUUUUAACAGCACCAUUUUCCUGGCUUUCUCUAACAGCCUGUCUGAGAUCCCACUCAUUCAAGAGCAUGCUAGACACAUAAUCUUCCGUUAGCCGGUCAGAAGGCAUUGUAGAAAACUGGGCAGCUACUCCAUCAUAAGAAUCAUCUAGGCUAUUUAUCAUCAGCAUUGCAAACACAGCCUCUGAAAUAGCCAGGUCUCGCUGAACAAGGUCCUGUCUGAGACGCUUUAACUGAGAUAGAUGGCUAGGCAAAUCACCACCUUUCUCCAACUGCAGCCUGCACAGCUUCUUGAAGAAAAUCACACUGGAACCAGCAUUCUGCCUCAAAUGCAUAUCUCUCAACUUAUGCCAAACAGCUCGUGCAGUCUCUUGACCCUCUAAGUUCACCAACAAGUGGUCUGAAACACUCAAAAACAAUUGUCCCUCGGGCUCUCAUAUCUGCAGCAUGCCACUCAGGCCAUUCAUCAUCAUCCUUAUUGGGAGGGUCGUCUUCUAUAGUGUGAAAUAGCUUUUCCCUCUGUAAAAGCGCUUUCAUCUUGACCUGCCAAACUGCAUAGGUCUCAGGCGUGAGGAGAGGAAAGGACAGAGCCAUCUGGCCAGAAUGUGCACAGGCCAUGUCUGCUAUUACUUAGAGCAAGACACUUCCCUCGUGCAACACAGAUAAAGCCUUGACUCCUUCAGCCACUCUCUCUCCCACUCAGAGCGCAAUUAACAGGCAAACAGGGAUGCUAUCUUCUUUCUUUGGCAGUCAGCAACAUACCUCCAUAAAUCAAGCAGCAGCAACAGCAACAGCGGCAGCUUGAACACUCUGCUCCAAAACAGCUCUGCUUCUGGGCACCACAAAUCAGUCCAGCAUGCAGCGUCCGUUCCGCCGUCCGGCAAUCAGCAACAGAAACCUCUGGCGACUGGGACGAGUGGGACGACUGGUACAACUGGAACAACGACUGGUCAGGUGACUGGGACAACGACUGGGCCCAUAACCGAUGUCAGCAUCGCCCUUGAGUCAGUGCCACCAACUGGACUCAUCCACUUCAGCCCCGACUGGGCUAGGCGAGCUGGGUAGCACUUCCAGAGACCACCUUCUGCACAGGAACAGGUCAAAGUGCUGUGGACUCACAGCUUAGAGUUGUGAGCACCGGAUUCACUUCCACAAGAAGACAGUCGUCGCACAGCAGAGUACAGCAGACUCUAGCAGAGUAUAUAAACAACUUGGAGAGCAGCUCUGUAGAAUAUCUUCUUUAUUCUAUCUACAACUAUUAUACAACUAUAUACAGAGCUAAAUAGGUCUAAGCAUAAAUGAAUGCUGCACUGCACUGAGUGUCUGCAGCUGCUCUUAGCAGCAACCUUAUCUCUACACACGAUCUCUAACACUCAGUCUCUCUCUCUCUCUCCGACACUGACUGACUGACUGACUUGGUGCUGGAGCAGAAUAAGUAGAGAGCAGAACACGCCUCCUCCUCUCUGGAGAAUCAGCAGACUCCUCAGGAGAUUCUUGGAUAUGGGAGGGGUGAAAUCUCCUCAGAAGGAACUGUGAUCAUGCAAGUAAGCAAGUUCAUGUCGACUGUGGAAAAAUUCUUAUACAACCACACCAAGCAAGAACGGAAUCCUAAACAGUGGACAGGGAUGGCAUU